ACAACUUGAUUUCUGUUCACAAGUUAGUGAAGCAAUUGCAUUGUAUAGUUAUGUUCACUGAACAUUCCUUCUUACUACACAUGAUACAGGACCCUUCUCUGAGGAGGCCUCUGGAUCUUGGUAGAGAAGCUGCUGGCUUAUAUAAACUGGCUUGGGUCCCUUCUUCCCCUUCUUCCUCUGUUAGUUGUUCCUCUACUUCUGUUUGUCAUGUAUCUGCUUCUUGUAAUGAUAGCAAGGUUGUUGCAUUGCCUUCUGUGUCUGUUUCUUGUAAN
Molecule: long non-coding RNA, 272 nt
Filed under: Nicotiana benthamiana
Lineage: Eukaryota; Viridiplantae; Streptophyta; Magnoliopsida; Solanales; Solanaceae
Description: long non-coding RNA (NBEN_LNC022768)
Source: RNAcentral